CCUGGUGGCAGGGAGCUGCGUUGAGGAGGAAGAACAUGGAGAAGGACGGCACCCAGGCCCUCUUCUGCACAGAUGCCCAGAGUGUCUCUCUGCACCCUCAAGGGGAACUCCGAGCCUCCAGGAUCCCGAGGGUGCUUCGGGCUACCCUGGCAUUUAUGAUGGCCGCCCUCGCCUUGUUCUUUGUGGUUCUUUGUAUUGUGGCUUUUCAGAACAGAAGACAUGCCCCCGAGGCUCAUGCCCAACUGCAAGACUCUCCAGAAGUGAACAGCACCAGGAAGGAAGUGGAC
This is a long non-coding RNA of Sorex araneus (European shrew), 287 nucleotides long. RefSeq lists it as uncharacterized. NCBI's taxonomy places the organism in Eukaryota, Metazoa, Chordata, Mammalia, Eulipotyphla, Soricidae. The transcript has 3 exons. The record is from RefSeq and is a predicted model, not a curated record.